UCAGCUCGCUGGAAGGAGAAGACAAAGGUCGAUUAGUGGCCGUGCAGGGGAGAGGAGCUAUGACUGGAGCCUGAUGCUGAGGGCUGCCUUGGAGAGUCUCUAGCCCCUGGGAUGCAUUCAAACUGUUGAGAGUAAAUGAUGCUGUUACUGGGAUUGCAGGGACUCAACAGAAUCGAGGGGCAAUCAAAUGGUGGAAGAGAAAGCUACCAGCACCUUUACAGAGAAGACGAUGCGCGAGAUGAAACUGGAUCCUGAGAUCCAAAAGAGGCCUGCCCGGGGAACUUCUGCCAAAACGAGGUGUUACUCAGGCCCAACCACCUUCACGGAGCUGGCAAAGGCGGCCUGCUUCCUGGACCAUCAGAACCCCGGGAGAGCUGCUUGGAUCAUCUCGUGCAGAGAAAUGACAAGGCUUUUCUAUUUAAAUAUGGGUUUGUUGUGGCAGACCCGCACAGCUGUUGUCGAAAUCAAAGAUCAGUUUGUUAGAUUAUUUUUACGGACUGUGUCAGGGUAACCGCUUCCGGAAAACAUCUGUUCUAUAAUUAGAAAAUGAAGAUCUUGUCACUCAGCUGGAACGUAAUUACUUCCAAGGCAUCAGAGGGAGGAUUUUAGUAUUAUCACGAGAAUUCAAUAGGGUUACUCAGAACGUGUAUAUUUUUUCCCUUUAAUUCUUCUAAGGUAACUAGGGGAAGCCCAUACUUAUUUGCAUUUACAGGAUGUAAAUAAGAAUGAAUCAAUUCUGCAUGGGCU
This 747-nucleotide long non-coding RNA is filed under the name Rattus norvegicus (Norway rat). Its description in RNAcentral is "long non-coding RNA NONRATT005020". Lineage: Eukaryota; Metazoa; Chordata; Mammalia; Rodentia; Muridae. The record is from RNAcentral.